Molecule: ribosomal RNA, 1509 nt
Filed under: uncultured bacterium
Lineage: Bacteria
Description: bacterial SSU rRNA
Rfam family: Bacterial small subunit ribosomal RNA
Source: RNAcentral
GAGUUUGAUCCUGGCUCAGAUUGGACGCUGGCGGCAUGCUUUACACAUGCAAGUCGAACGGCAGCAUGGGUGCUUGCACCUGAUGGCGAGUGGCGAACGGGUGAGUAAUAUAUCGGAACAUGUCCGGAAGUGGGGGAUAACGUAACGAAAGUUACGCUAAUACCGCAUAUGCCCUGAGGGGGAAAGGAGGGGAUCGUAAGACCUUUCGCUUUCGGAGUGGCCGAUAUCAGAUUAGCUAGUUGGUGAGGUAAAGGCUCACCAAGGCGACGAUCUGUAGCGGGUCUGAGAGGAUGAUCCGCCACACUGGGACUGAGACACGGCCCAUACUCCUACGGGAGGCAGCAGUGGGGAAUUUUGGACAAUGGGCGCAAGCCUGAUCCAACCAUGCCGCGUGAGUGAAGAAGGCCUUCAGGUUGUAAAGCUCUUUCAGCCAGAAAGAAAUCAUGCUUACUAAUACUAAGUGUGGAUGACGGUACCGGAAGAAGAAGCACCGGCUAACUACGUGCCAGCAGCCGCGGUAAUACGUAGGGUGCGAGCGUUAAUCGGAAUUACUGGGCGUAAAGCGUGCGCAUGCGGUUUUUUAAGACAGAUGUGAGAUCCCCGGGCGUUACCUGGCGACUGCAUUUGUGACUGGAAGGCUAUAGUACAGCAGAAGGGGGGUAGAAUUCCACGUGUAGCAGUGAAAUGCGUAGAUAUGUGGAAGAAUACCGGAUGGCAAAGGCAGCCCCCCUGGGUCGAUACUGAACGCUCAUGCACGAAAGCCGUGGGGAGCAAACAGGAUUAGAUACCCUGGUAGUCCCCGCCCUUAAAUGAUGUCAAAUAGCUGUUGGGGGAGGAGACUUCCUUAGUACCGCAGCUAACGCGUGAAGUUGACCGCCUGGGGAGUACGACCGCAAGGUUGAAAGUCAAAGGAAUCGACGGGGACCCGCACAAGCGGUGGAUUAUGUGGAUUAAUUCGAUGCAGCGCGAAAAACCUUACCUACCCUUGACAUGCCGAGAAUCCCGAAGAGAUUUGGGAGUGCCCGAAAGGGAAUUUGGACACAGGUGCUGCAUGGCUGUCGUCAGCUCGUGUCGUGAGAUGUUGGGUUAAGUCCCGCAACGAGCGCAACCCUUGUCAUUAAUUGCCAUCAUUUAGUUGGGCACUUUAAUGAGACUGCCGGUGAUAAAUCGGAGGAAGGUGGGGAUGACGUCAAGUCCUCAUGGCCCUUAUGGGUAGGGCUUCACACGUAAUACAAUGGUCGGUACAGAGGGUUGCCAACCCGCGAGGGGGAGUCAAUCUCGGAAAGCCGAUCGUAGUCCGGAUUGUUCCCUGCAACUCGAGAGCAUGAAGUCGGAAUCGCUAGUAAUCGCGGAUCAGCAUGUCGCGGUGAAUACGUUCCCGGGUCUUGUACACACCGCCCGUCACACCAUGGGAGCGGGUUCUGCCAGAAGUAGUUAGUCUAACCGCAAGGAGGGCGAUUACCACGGCAGGGUUCGUGACUGGGGUGAAGUCGUAACAAGGUAACCGUA